RNAcentral lists this ribosomal RNA (468 nucleotides) under uncultured bacterium. RNAcentral describes it as "partial 16S ribosomal RNA". It matches the Rfam family "Bacterial small subunit ribosomal RNA", at positions 28 to 507 of the family's 1533-position model. The record is from RNAcentral.
GACGAACGCUGGCGGCGUGCUUAACACAUGCAAGUCGAACGGAAAGGCCCUGCUUUUGUGGGGUGCUCGAGUGGCGAACGGGUGAGUAACCCGUGAGUAACCUGCCCUUGACUUUGGGAUAACUUCAGGAAACUGGGGCUAAUACCGGAUAGGAGCUCCUGCUGCAUGGUGGGGGUUGGAAAGUUUCGGCGGUUGGGGAUGGACUCGCGGCUUAUCAGCUUGUUGGUGGGGUAGUGGCUUACCAAGGCUUUGACGGGUAGCCGGCCUGAGAGGGUGACCGGCCACAUUGGGACUGAGAUACGGCCCAGACUCCUACGGGAGGCAGCAGUGGGGAAUAUUGCACAAUGGGCGGAAGCCUGAUGCAGCAACGCCGCGUGCGGGAUGACGGCCUUCGUGUUGUAAACCGCUUUCGCCUGUGACGAAGCGUGAGUGACGGUAAUGGGUAAAGAAGCACCGGCUAACUACGUG